AUUGAACGCUGGCGGCAUGCCUUACACAUGCAAGUCGAACGGUAACGGGCCUUCGGGUGCCGACGAGUGGCGAACGGGUGAGUAAUACAUCGGAACGUGCCCGAUCGUGGGGGAUAACGAGGCGAAAGCUUUGCUAAUACCGCAUACGAUCUACGGAUGAAAGCAGGGGACCGCAAGGCCUUGCGCGGACGGAGCGGCCGAUGGCAGAUUAGGUAGUUGGUGGGAUAAAAGCUUACCAAGCCGACGAUCUGUAGCUGGUCUGAGAGGAUGAUCAGCCACACUGGGACUGAGACACGGCCCAGACUCCUACGGGAGGCAGCAGUGGGGAAUGUUGGACAAUGGGCGCAAGCCUGAUCCAGCAAUGCCGCGUGCAGGAUGAAGGCCUUCGGGUUGUAAACUGCUUUUGUACGGAACGAAAAGCCUUCUUUUAAUACAGGAGGGUCAUGACGGUACCGGAAGAAUAAGCACCGGCUAACUACGUG
RNAcentral lists this ribosomal RNA (482 nucleotides) under uncultured bacterium. Its description in RNAcentral is "partial 16S ribosomal RNA". It matches the Rfam family "Bacterial small subunit ribosomal RNA", at positions 30 to 507 of the family's 1533-position model. The record is from RNAcentral.